This 71-nucleotide transfer RNA is filed under the name Cricetulus griseus (Chinese hamster). It matches the Rfam family "tRNA". From Rfam's summary of the family: Transfer RNA (tRNA) molecules are approximately 80 nucleotides in length. Their secondary structure includes four short double-helical elements and three loops (D, anti-codon, and T loops). Further hydrogen bonds mediate the characteristic L-shaped molecular structure. tRNAs have two regions of fundamental functional importance: the anti-codon, which is responsible for specific mRNA codon recognition, and the 3' end, to which the tRNAs corresponding amino acid is attached (by aminoacyl-tRNA synthetases). tRNAs cope with the degeneracy of the genetic code in two manners: having more than one tRNA (with a specific anti-codon) for a particular amino acid; and 'wobble' base-pairing, i.e. permitting non-standard base-pairing at the 3rd anti-codon position. Lineage: Eukaryota; Metazoa; Chordata; Mammalia; Rodentia; Cricetidae. The record is from Rfam by way of RNAcentral.
GGCUGUGUAGCUCAGUGAUAGAGCACUUGCUUAGCACUCAAGAAGCCCUGUUUCCAUCCUCAGCACUGCUU